UGGAUGUACUCAUAUUCCUUAGGAAAUUUCGAGCUAGAUCUCCACUUGACUUCUUCCAGAACACUAUGGGUGUGAAUCUGAAGUCCAUUAAUAUGUCACACAAUAAGAGGUGGUGAGGUGGUCAGCCAUUAUUACCUCAGUAACAUCAUCUCCAAGGGCCCACUUUUGAUCUGGAAGGAAUCUGACUCUUGGAAGUUGCUGCAAGUAUUAUGGAAUAGCUCGGAUCAUCAAGACGUUGCCAGUUUAUACAUCCUGUGCAAGAUGUGUGGGGCUGAGACAACUGUCAAAGGAGAGUGCUGCUCAUCAAGAUAA
RNAcentral lists this long non-coding RNA (312 nucleotides) under Canis lupus familiaris (dog). RNAcentral describes it as "lncRNA (ENSCAFG00845017407.1)". Lineage: Eukaryota; Metazoa; Chordata; Mammalia; Carnivora; Canidae. The record is from RNAcentral.